RNAcentral lists this transfer RNA (73 nucleotides) under Camelus dromedarius (Arabian camel). It matches the Rfam family "tRNA". Rfam says of the family: Transfer RNA (tRNA) molecules are approximately 80 nucleotides in length. Their secondary structure includes four short double-helical elements and three loops (D, anti-codon, and T loops). The record is from Rfam by way of RNAcentral. RNAcentral also lists the same sequence under 1 other name. Lineage: Eukaryota; Metazoa; Chordata; Mammalia; Artiodactyla; Camelidae.
GAGGGUAGAGCUCAAGCGGUAGAGCACAUGCUUAACAUGCAUGAGGUCUGGGGUCCAAUCCCUAAUACCUCCA